UGAAAGACUAUGACCCUAGGAGGC
This 24-nucleotide non-coding RNA is filed under the name Mus musculus (house mouse). Lineage: Eukaryota; Metazoa; Chordata; Mammalia; Rodentia; Muridae. The record is from RNAcentral.